AACGAACGCUGGCGGCAGGCCUAACACAUGCAAGUCGAGCGGACCCUUCGGGGUUAGCGGCGGACGGGUGCGUAACGCGUGGGAAUAUGCCCUUCUCUACGGAAUAGUCCUGGGAAACUGGGGGUAAUACCGUAUACGCCCUUUGGGGGAAAGAUUUAUCGGGGAAGGAUUGGCCCGCGUUGGAUUAGGUAGUUGGUAGGGUAAUGGCCUACCAAGCCGACGAUCCAUAGCUGGUUUGAGAGGAUGAUCAGCCACACUGGGACUGAGACACGGCCCAGACUCCUACGGGAAGCAGCAGUGGGGAAUCUUAGACAAUGGGGGCAAGCCUGAUCUAGCCAUGCCGCGUGAGUGAUGAAGGCCUUAGGGUUGUAAAGCUCUUUUAGCUGGGAAGAUAAUGACGGUACCAGCAGAAGAAGCCCCGGCUAACUCCGUG
Molecule: ribosomal RNA, 433 nt
Filed under: uncultured bacterium
Lineage: Bacteria
Description: partial 16S ribosomal RNA
Rfam family: Bacterial small subunit ribosomal RNA
Source: RNAcentral